AUCAAACUAUAAAUACGCAUUACACAGGCCACUCACUAGUUUAAUUAAAAUAAAUUACAACUUUUGAGUAUGUAUCAUUAAAUGAUUGGAUCUCAGUCCAUCAAAAUUGUACUCAAAUUCUAAGUGAGCAAGAUAAAUAUUGGGAAGGAGAAUUUAACAUAUGUUGAUAAAGGGAAAAUCAAUUAAAUUCAAGAAAUGGUUGAUACAUCAGCAACCACAAAGUCAUACAACAUAAAUCUAUCAUUCAUAUUAAUUUAAGCCGCAUGGCACGACAAAAGGCAACUCUAGACGUAUGGUUGUGGCCUGGGCAUGUCCUUGACGAUGCCGCAAAGAAGUUGAGAGUCAAGAAUGUUGUACUCAUCCCUCAAAGAACGUUCUGGGGACAAAACACUAAUGUAGAGUUGUUGGCCCAAGUAACGAUUUUCAGCAUGCUCCGACCUCAAGUUCCACAUACCGGCAUUGUCGAAUGUCAACAUGAUUGCUGCCCAAGAUUUGGGGAAGACUUGAACGGUGUGUCUGCUCACGGUAUCAAGAAGGUUGUAGUUCUUCCUCUUCUCUGGGGUCCACUUUCCUGGUUCUACCCUGCAGAUCAUAGGAUAUAAAACAAAACGUGUAAAAAUUAAGUAUUUAAUUAAAUUC
This 639-nucleotide long non-coding RNA is filed under the name Lotus japonicus. RNAcentral describes it as "long non-coding RNA (LJAP_LNC000323)". The record is from RNAcentral. Lineage: Eukaryota; Viridiplantae; Streptophyta; Magnoliopsida; Fabales; Fabaceae.